AGGUUCAGGUGUACUGGCCCAGGUGUGUUCCAGUGUGCUGAGACUGGAGUGGUGUUUGAUAUGGCUCAGGAGGCAGAGCUGAUGUACAGGAUCGUUCAAUGGAUGAGAGUCGCCUCGAACUGACUGGUAAAGAAGCUGCAGGACCGCUGUUCAACAUCCAGUGUUCUGAGGAUGCAGUCCGUCAGCUUCACUUCCCACACUGUGAAACAAAGGAUGCGCUGAGUAUUGACGGCCUGCUGUCUGUUGCCCACUUCACUGAUGAUGGAAUGAGCAUCUUGAAGCCGCUGCAGAUCACUGACACUCAUGUGGUCGUGGAGGUCGCUCACCUCUCUGGAUUUGGCCUCAUCUGGGAUCCUGAUAAAAGGCGACUCUCACGCCGAGUAAAAGGACAAGUGCUGCUGUUCCUCCGGCCUCCAAUCAGAGGUCCUCGAACACUUGAUGUGUUUCUGCUGCUGAAGAACGUCCCUGUAAGAGAGGUGAAGUGAUCAGAUGUGUGUCUGAUGCUGUGGUUGUAAUCAGAACCCAACUGAGCUAUCAGCACCGUCAACCUUCUCUAUCUUUACUGGCUACCAGUUGCUAUCUUGCCUCUGUUCUGGUGUCCUGGUGUCUCCUAACUGGUUACCAAUGACCUACUACUACUUCCACCCUCUUUCUUCUUUCCACUCUCUCUGGUAGGAUCCCAGGGACAUAUUCUGUAAUUCUUAUUGUAAGAACUUUGGACAACAUCUAAGGUUUUAAUAACAUCUAUGAAUAAAUAGAGCAGACUAUUUGAUCAUUCACACUAUGAUAAAUGUGUUCUUGUCUUGAAGGUUGCUGCCCAAUGAGAAAAAUGCAGAAUACAUUCAGAUCUCAGCUGACUGUUUGUUCAGCUUUGGUCGCAGUUACAGUGUCCGCUGUGAACAGGAUGGUUUGGAAAUACAGCCGGCACAUGCAAAGUUUCAUUCACAUUUUGGACCCAAUUUCCACCCAACUUUUGAAGUUUUCCUGAUGACAAAUCCAGAUUUAUUGACUUUGAAGGUCCAAGACCAAGAGGAGAAAGAAGUCUGGAAACGUAAUGUUCAUCUGAAAGCUCCAGAAAGGGACACAGAGCAGAGAGUCCAACCACAGUCAUCAGUUCGGACACGGUUGAUUCAGGGGUUGUCAGACGUUACUGUGGACCAGCUCCUGGACAGACUCUAUGACCAGAGAGUUAUCAGUGGAGAAGAGAAGGACGUCAUCAGAGCACAGAUCGGAGCAGAAAAAGCACGGCAGCUCAUCAACCGGGUUCAUAGAAAGGGACCUGAUGCUGUUUCAGUUCUGAAAGCUGCCCUUCGUGAGGUUGAUCCAUUCCUUUUCAGAAACCUGAACCUGACGUAAAACAAUAAAGGAGUUGAGAUGUUGGAAAUCAGCCGAUUCUACCAUUAACCAAGCCAACAGAAUAUGUGUAAGGCUGUUUCCGCCCAGUUCUUUUGAUGGAGUAGUCAGGAGACUUCUUCUUAAAAUCAAAAGUAUUUAUUACAGCAAAACUGAAUGUGAUACAGAGCUCUGGGCCUGAAUCCUCUGUCUCUAACCAACAACAAGUGUUCAGUCAGUUCAGAUGGAAUCAGACUAACUGUUCCUGACCCAGUCUUCUUAUACUCUAACAGUGUGUAUAGCUAUCUAUCUAGGCUGCCCCCCCCCUCUGAUGCUGCGUUGUUCCGCUGUCCUCUGUCACAGCUGCUGUUUUGUCAUUACGCUCACGUAGGAAUGACUUCACCGCUGCAAAGCAAGAUUAGAAACUGCACACACAACUCGCUCAUGUUCUUUACUGAUUAUGGCUUAUGUCAAACUAUCUGUACCUUUAUUAUCAAAAACUGUCUGUACUUUGAUUAUCAAUCACUUUAUGUCUUGAUCAUCCUUGCAUUCAAUCACAUGAGUAAUAAGUAAAAUAAAGCUGGACUUAU
Molecule: long non-coding RNA, 1922 nt
Organism: Acanthochromis polyacanthus (spiny chromis)
Lineage: Eukaryota; Metazoa; Chordata; Actinopteri; Pomacentridae
Exons: 4
Source: RefSeq, a predicted model, not a curated record